RNAcentral lists this transfer RNA (79 nucleotides) under Cutibacterium acnes KPA171202. Its description in RNAcentral is "tRNA-Trp". It matches the Rfam family "tRNA". Rfam says of the family: Transfer RNA (tRNA) molecules are approximately 80 nucleotides in length. Lineage: Bacteria; Bacillati; Actinomycetota; Actinomycetes; Propionibacteriales; Propionibacteriaceae. The record is from RNAcentral.
AGGGCACUAGCUCAAUUGGCAGAGCAGCGGUCUCCAAAACCGCAGGUUGGGGGUUCAAGUCCCUCGUGCCCUGCGAGAC